This 524-nucleotide ribosomal RNA is filed under the name uncultured bacterium. RNAcentral's name for it is "partial 16S ribosomal RNA". It matches the Rfam family "Bacterial small subunit ribosomal RNA", at positions 28 to 523 of the family's 1533-position model. The record is from RNAcentral.
GACGAACGCUGGCGGCGUGCCUAAUACAUGCAAGUCGAGCGCAGGAAACUGACGGAACUCUUCGGAGGGAAGGCAGUGUAAUGAGCGGCGGACGGGUGAGUAACACGUAAGGAACCUGCCUCAAGGAUUGGGAUAACUCCGAGAAAUCGGAGCUAAUACCGGAUAGUUCAACGGACCGCAUGGUCCGCUGAUGAAAGGCGCUUCGGCGUCACCUUGAGAUGGCCUUGCGGUGCAUUAGCUAGUUGGUGGGGUAAUGGCCCACCAAGGCGACGAUGGAUAGCCGACCUGAGAGGGUGAGCGGCAACGCUGGGACUGAGACACGGCCCAGACUCCUACGGGAGGCAGCAGUAGGGAAUCUUCCACAAUGGACGAAAGUCUGAUGGAGCAACGCCGGGUGAGUGAUGAAGGUUUUCGGAUCGUAAAACUCUGUUGUAAGGGAAGAACACGUACGAGAGGGAAUGCUCGUACCUUGACGGUACCUUACGAGAAAGCCACGGCUAACUGCGUGCCAGCAGCCGCGGUAA